CGGAGAAGACGGGACUCGACCUGCUCUAGGGCUAGUGCGAAUGUAGUGAGCUAGGCUACAGCUGCGAUCGUAGCUGUUCGAGAGGACGAUCAGUCACCGGUGAGCACGUCCAGACUCCUACGGGAGCAGCAGUGGGAUUUGCAAGGGAAAGCCUGAUCCAGCAUGCGGGCGGAUGAGGUCCGGUUAGCGCUGUACGGAGGAAGAAGCCUGGGUAUCUCCGUCAUGAUAUAAGAAAUAAACGGCUAUCUACGUCACAGCCGCGGUAAUACGUAGGGGCAACGCUUUGGAUAGGGGUAAAGCGUGCGCAGGGUUUUGUAACAGUGGGAAUCCCCGGUCUCACCUGGGACUUCAUUUGAUGCAAAGUAGAGUGCGGCAGAGGGGGAGGAAUUCCGCGUGUAGCAGGAAUGUUAGAUAUGGGAGGAACACCGAUGGGAAGGCAAUCCCUGGCUGCACACGUCAUGCGAAAGGGGGAGCAACACAGGAUUAAUCCUGGUAGUCACCCUAAACGAUGUCAUGGUUGUUGGGUCUUAAACUCAGUAACGAAGUAACGGUGAAGUGCCCCUGGGGAGUACGCGCAAGGUUGAAAUCAAAGGAAUGCGGGGACCCCCCAAGCGGGGAGAUGUGGUUUAUUUGAGCAACGGAAAACUUCCCCCUUGCAUCCAGGAAUUCCAGAGAUGUUGGUGCUUGAAAGAGAACAGCACACAGGUGCGCAUGGUUGUCGUCAGUGUGUGGUGAGAUGGGGGUUAAGUCCCGCAACGAGCGCAACCCUCCCAUUAGUUUACAUUCAGUGGCACUCUAAGGACUGCCGGUGACAAACCGGAGGAAGGUGGGGAUGACGUCAAGUCUCAUGGCCCUUAGGGGCUACACACGUCAUACAAUGGGGUACAAGGGUUGCCAACCGCGAGGGGAGCUAAUCCCAAAACCUCGUAGUCCGGAUCGCAGUCUGCAACUCGACUGCGUGAAGUCGGAAUCGCUAGUAAUCGGAUCAGAUGUCCGGUGAAUACGUUCCCGGGCUUGUACACACCGCCCUCACACCAUGGGAGCGGUCUCCCAGAAGUAGGUGCUCUAACCGAAGGAGGCGUACACGAUGAUCUGGU
Molecule: ribosomal RNA, 1097 nt
Filed under: Comamonas testosteroni
Lineage: Bacteria; Pseudomonadati; Pseudomonadota; Betaproteobacteria; Burkholderiales; Comamonadaceae
Description: bacterial SSU rRNA
Rfam family: Bacterial small subunit ribosomal RNA
Source: RNAcentral